RNAcentral lists this transfer RNA (73 nucleotides) under Stegodyphus mimosarum. It matches the Rfam family "tRNA". Rfam says of the family: Transfer RNA (tRNA) molecules are approximately 80 nucleotides in length. The record is from Rfam by way of RNAcentral. Lineage: Eukaryota; Metazoa; Arthropoda; Arachnida; Araneae; Eresidae.
GCCUUCGUGGUGUAGUGGUCAGCACACUGAGCCGGUAUUUCAGAGGUCCGUGGUUCGAUUCCCGUCGAAGACC